RNAcentral lists this ribosomal RNA (1563 nucleotides) under Lactiplantibacillus plantarum. RNAcentral describes it as "16S ribosomal RNA". It matches the Rfam family "Bacterial small subunit ribosomal RNA". Lineage: Bacteria; Bacillati; Bacillota; Bacilli; Lactobacillales; Lactobacillaceae. RNAcentral also lists the same sequence under 2 other names. The record is from RNAcentral.
UUUGAGAGUUUGAUCCUGGCUCAGGACGAACGCUGGCGGCGUGCCUAAUACAUGCAAGUCGAACGAACUCUGGUAUUGAUUGGUGCUUGCAUCAUGAUUUACAUUUGAGUGAGUGGCGAACUGGUGAGUAACACGUGGGAAACCUGCCCAGAAGCGGGGGAUAACACCUGGAAACAGAUGCUAAUACCGCAUAACAACUUGGACCGCAUGGUCCGAGUUUGAAAGAUGGCUUCGGCUAUCACUUUUGGAUGGUCCCGCGGCGUAUUAGCUAGAUGGUGAGGUAACGGCUCACCAUGGCAAUGAUACGUAGCCGACCUGAGAGGGUAAUCGGCCACAUUGGGACUGAGACACGGCCCAAACUCCUACGGGAGGCAGCAGUAGGGAAUCUUCCACAAUGGACGAAAGUCUGAUGGAGCAACGCCGCGUGAGUGAAGAAGGGUUUCGGCUCGUAAAACUCUGUUGUUAAAGAAGAACAUAUCUGAGAGUAACUGUUCAGGUAUUGACGGUAUUUAACCAGAAAGCCACGGCUAACUACGUGCCAGCAGCCGCGGUAAUACGUAGGUGGCAAGCGUUGUCCGGAUUUAUUGGGCGUAAAGCGAGCGCAGGCGGUUUUUUAAGUCUGAUGUGAAAGCCUUCGGCUCAACCGAAGAAGUGCAUCGGAAACUGGGAAACUUGAGUGCAGAAGAGGACAGUGGAACUCCAUGUGUAGCGGUGAAAUGCGUAGAUAUAUGGAAGAACACCAGUGGCGAAGGCGGCUGUCUGGUCUGUAACUGACGCUGAGGCUCGAAAGUAUGGGUAGCAAACAGGAUUAGAUACCCUGGUAGUCCAUACCGUAAACGAUGAAUGCUAAGUGUUGGAGGGUUUCCGCCCUUCAGUGCUGCAGCUAACGCAUUAAGCAUUCCGCCUGGGGAGUACGGCCGCAAGGCUGAAACUCAAAGGAAUUGACGGGGGCCCGCACAAGCGGUGGAGCAUGUGGUUUAAUUCGAAGCUACGCGAAGAACCUUACCAGGUCUUGACAUACUAUGCAAAUCUAAGAGAUUAGACGUUCCCUUCGGGGACAUGGAUACAGGUGGUGCAUGGUUGUCGUCAGCUCGUGUCGUGAGAUGUUGGGUUAAGUCCCGCAACGAGCGCAACCCUUAUUAUCAGUUGCCAGCAUUAAGUUGGGCACUCUGGUGAGACUGCCGGUGACAAACCGGAGGAAGGUGGGGAUGACGUCAAAUCAUCAUGCCCCUUAUGACCUGGGCUACACACGUGCUACAAUGGAUGGUACAACGAGUUGCGAACUCGCGAGAGUAAGCUAAUCUCUUAAAGCCAUUCUCAGUUCGGAUUGUAGGCUGCAACUCGCCUACAUGAAGUCGGAAUCGCUAGUAAUCGCGGAUCAGCAUGCCGCGGUGAAUACGUUCCCGGGCCUUGUACACACCGCCCGUCACACCAUGAGAGUUUGUAACACCCAAAGUCGGUGGGGUAACCUUUUAGGAACCAGCCGCCUAAGGUGGGACAGAUGAUUAGGGUGAAGUCGUAACAAGGUAGCCGUAGGAGAACCUGCGGCUGGAUCACCUCCUU